GCAGUCGAGCGAACAAUGGGAGCUUGCUCCCAGAGGUUAGCGGCGGACGGGUGAGUAACACGUGGGCAACCUGCCCUGUAGAUCGGGAUAACAUCGAGAAAUCGGUGCUAAUACCGGAUAAUUUCUAGAAUCUCAUGGUUUUAGAAUAAAAGAUGGCUCCGGCUAUCACUACGGGAUGGGCCCGCGGCGCAUUAGCUAGUUGGUAAGGUAACGGCUUACCAAGGCGACGAUGCGUAGCCGACCUGAGAGGGUGAUCGGCCACACUGGGACUGAGACACGGCCCAGACUCCUACGGGAGGCAGCAGUAGGGAAUCUUCCGCAAUGGACGAAAGUCUGACGGAGCAACGCCGCGUGAGUGAUGAAGGAUUUCGGUUCGUAAAGCUCUGUUGUUAGGGAAGAACAAGUGUCGUUCGAAUAGGGCGGCACCUUGACGGUACCUAACCAGAAAGCCACGGCUAACUACGUGCCAGCAGCCGCGGUAAUACGUAGGUGGCAAGCGUUGUCCGGAAUUAUUGGGCGUAAAGCGCGCGCAGGCGGUCUUUUAAGUCUGAUGUGAAAGCCCACGGCUCAACCGUGGAGGGUCAUUGGAAACUGGGAGACUUGAGUACAGAAGAGGAGAGUG
RNAcentral lists this ribosomal RNA (622 nucleotides) under bacterium SL1.22. RNAcentral describes it as "bacterial SSU rRNA". It matches the Rfam family "Bacterial small subunit ribosomal RNA", at positions 57 to 663 of the family's 1533-position model. The record is from RNAcentral.